This is a non-coding RNA of Pelobates cultripes (western spadefoot toad), 343 nucleotides long. The record is from the annotation of a GenBank genome assembly. NCBI's taxonomy places the organism in Eukaryota, Metazoa, Chordata, Amphibia, Anura, Pelobatidae.
CUUUAAUACCAUUGGGGAUCCAGUAUCUCCCACCAAGACGGAAGGUCCAGAUACGAUCAUUCAGUUUUUGGGGAUACAACUGGACUCCAUAACUAUGGAAGCCAGCCUCCCUAGAGAUAAGAUUGUCAACAUCACUCAGACCAUUCAGCAGUACUUGCGCAUAGGCUCAUGCAAUAGGAAAGAGCUUCAGUCACUGAUUGGCUCGCUAAAUUUUGCCAUCCGUAUUAUACCCCAAGGAAGAGCAUUCAUUUCCAGACUCCUGUGCCUUCUUCCGACACUAACUGACGAACACAAACGUACCACUCUUGAUUUGCAAGCCACAGCAGACUUGCACAUGUGGAAC